RNAcentral lists this unclassified non-coding RNA (624 nucleotides) under Melitaea cinxia (Glanville fritillary). RNAcentral describes it as "misc RNA ENSMCXG00005012751.1". Lineage: Eukaryota; Metazoa; Arthropoda; Insecta; Lepidoptera; Nymphalidae. The record is from RNAcentral.
GUCCAGAUACAUCAUCUGCGUUACAUGCCUUAUCUAGUCCUGAUCAGGCAUGCACGGUCCGGUCCUUGGUUGCUUGAUCCAAAUCGAGUAUGCCCAUGCGGUCCUUUUAAAUAAAACACGAAUGUACAGUCUUGACAAAAUUGUUUAUUAAAAAACUUGGUUGUCUGCAAAGUUGGUUUACAGACGAUAGUUAAACGUGACAACCGUCAUAACAAAACAUCUCCUCGGAUGCAUAGGCCGAUCAGAUAGAUGCGGCACAAGCAUACAUAUGAUCGUAACGAAGCCGGCGUUAAUCGAUUUUUCGACGUCACGUCAAAAAAAAAAAAAAAAAUGAUAUUAUGUUACUUAACAUACUAUGUAUAUUUAAAAUAACAUAUUAUAUAUAUUUAACUUAACAUAACAUAACAAUACACUUUAUUGUGCACUUAAACAGAAAUAAAACUUAUCCGAUUGAAAAAAAAAACAUAUUUAUUUCCAUUUAUUUUUUCAAAUGUAUUAUUUAUUUUAGUUUUUACUUUAAAUAUCAAUUAUUUUUAUGUUAUAGUUAAAAAUAAUAAUGAUUGUUAUUAAAUAUUAUGAAUUAAUUUUUCUUUUUGUUUGCUUGGCAAAAUAUUUUACACAGCA